Molecule: ribosomal RNA, 240 nt
Filed under: uncultured bacterium
Lineage: Bacteria
Description: partial 16S ribosomal RNA
Rfam family: Bacterial small subunit ribosomal RNA
Source: RNAcentral
UACGUAGGGUGCAAGCGUUGUCCGGAAUUAUUGGGCGUAAAGAGCUCGUAGGCGGUCUGUUGCGUCCGCUGUGAAAACCUCGGGGCUUAACCCCGAGCCUGCAGUGGAUACGGGCAGACUAGAGGUAGGUAGGGGAGAAUGGAAUUCCCGGUGUAGGCGGUGAAAUGCGCAGAUAUCGGGAAGGAACACCGGUGGCGAAGGCGGUUCUCUGGGGCCGUUACCUGGACGCUGAGGAGCGAA